GAGGCGCAUCCAGUUGCACGAAGCCCUUGAAACGCCUCCGCCAUCCUCGCCGCGCCGCAGCACGGCGUGCUGGCCGGGCUCCCCUGGCGCAGCCGAUUUCUUCCAUCCGAGCGAUUAGCCUCCCAACAUCUCCCCCAAAGUGCGCGCCGUGCGCCGAUCCCCACCCGCGACGCCGCACCGCACCGCAUUGCCCGCGCCGGAGCCGCUCUCCUUCGACGUGGACGACGCCCGGCGGUCUCUCCGGCGCCACCCCAAGAGACCGUUUCACCUCGCUCCUGCCAGUUUAUUCAUGGACGGGAAUAGUCUUUCACGAGUGCAAAGAAUGGUCAAAUCUGUAGCAAACUAAGAUGUUACGGUAAGCGUCCUGAAAGCGACUACUCUUGUUUAUUCUGUAUUGACAAUUGACACGAAUAUAUAGUUACGGAACUAGCUACAUUAUUAGCAUCAUUCUGACCAUUUAGCUUUGUCUUGCAGAUUUGACAUCUUGUUUUCCUUUAGUAUGCCAAACAUGCAGCUAGCCAUUAUAUUGGUCAUGAGUUGAUAAUAUGAUAUCUACUCAAGCUUAUUCCCCGCAAUCACACCAUGAAAAAUCUGACUUCUGAAAAUUAUGAGUAAAUUCCAUUUUUUACCCUCUAGUUUCAGAUUCCGGACAACGGUUACCCCAUUUAACAAAAAGUCUUCCAGUUUACCCCAUUUAGAAGAAUUUGUGCCAAUUUUUACCCCAUCUAACGUUUUAUCAUUUUCUUUAGCUGGACCAGGUUAUCGUGUUAUUUGCGUUUUAUCGUUGAGGGCGCAUUUUGGAGCUAAUACACUUUAUCCUUGACAAUAUUUCCCUCCCAGUACUCUCCAGCCUGUGUUACACCGCCGUCUGGCACAUCGCGCCCUCUCUCACUGGUCGCUGCACAACCUGGGUAUCAGUUCCUUGAUCUCAUCUCCUAGCUGCUCCUAGAUUAGUUGUAUCAAUCUAUUGGCUGAAACCUACCGGAGAAGCUACACCAUGCAUACGCAGGCGUGCUGCUAUGUACUAGUAGCAGACCAAGAACAAAAUGCAUGUAUUAAGAGUACAACCAAGUAUACAUACAUCAAUCGGUUGACUACAACUAGUGCACUAGAAUGAAAGCUAACAAUUACUCUCGUUUAGUUGUCUCUAGCCAGCUGAACAAGGCAGUGUCGUGGUACCCGUCAACUCAUGUCGGCAAUGAUUUGGUUGCACAAUCCCACAAAGAGUUUGCUAUUUUGCCAAUACACGAGAGUACCAUGCUAUUGCCCUAGUGUGGUACUAGUAAUACGGAUUAUUGUGAAGUUAAGGAGAGCAUGGCCGAGAGAGAGCGAACACGGUGUGACUGUGUAAACGAAUUAAGAGGGUAAAAACCGGCACAAACUUCACUAAAUGGGGUAAGAAAAAGGAAUUUCUGCUAAAUGGGGUAAUUAGUGUGUUAUGUGGCUGCUAGGGUUUGGGAGGGAGAGAGAGGGCUGCGAGGGCGCGAGAAGGCCGGACGGGGGCCUUUUGCCCACGGCCGGGCAAGAGGGAAGGGAUUUCCUUCUUAAUUCUUGCUUGAUUAGAUUGAUACAUCUCCUCUCCAUAUAUAGAGAGGUUUACUUGACUCCCAAGCAAGGCUUACUUGACCCCUAAGCAAACCAUAAGACUAACGGGCCCAGGCCCAUGACGUACUCUAACAUAGUGUUACAAACGUAAAACUACAGGGUAAAAAAUGGAAUUCACUCGAAAAUUAUUGACAAAAUAUGGCCUUUUUUAACACGAUAUUUGCGUGAUGUGUGCAUUAGUUAGACAUGAUCCAGCAAGCUUGUUCUAUUAUUAAAUGUAUGGUGUAGUUAGUUUGUUCUGUGGGUACAGUGGCAAAGCUAAGCUGUCUAUUAUUUUCAUCGGACACUUCACUGUGAUCUUUUCUACUUGAACAGGGGGAAUGUAAGUUCAGUUAAAUGUAUAUGAACUGGUAGGUACUCAACAUGAAGGGUAUUUUGAGUGCCUAUCAGAUCAUUAUGCCGCUGGUAUGCCCACAUCAAAAACUAGGGUGUCCUAAUUUUUUGUGCCCCACGCCCCCACAGCCACGGCAGGUUUGCACGCAGCAGAAAUUAUAGUGGUGGGGUUCUGUCCAUGAAUGAACUUUUCAGGUUUACAUGCAUGCCACUAGAGUUUGAAUCAUCAGGGGGAUUUCUCAUUAUUAGCUGGGGGGCUGCAUCUUGAAGAAGUCAUAUGUUGGAGCAGCAUGGCAGACGGAAAAGUCACAUCUUCCCCCUUUUAACGACUUAGUGACUUUGAAACGCAAUAGUUUACAGUGGCCGGCGGCAACAGUCCAGGUUAAUGAUGCUUCUCUGAAUCGUUUUGAUUUUGUGCUGAUUAAAGUUAACUUUUGGAAGCAGUCAUGCCACAACACGUACACACGCACACAGGCACUUCGUUCUGUCAGAUCUCUGCCUACCAUAUUGCUGUCAGAAAAAAAUUUAGUGCAUGAGAGGACCUGGGUGAAAUCCUGUUUGCUGGUAAAGUUGCAACACCAUAACUGUUGGCUGGCAAACCUUUUCUUGUUACUAGAUUUGCAAAAAGCCUCCCAGCUGCUUGACGCCAGUGCCCACCGACCAUGUAGGCACACACCCUGAGUGGUGGGCCAACUAAUCUCCCUUUUCCACCUGGAUCACCACUCUAUGUCCUAGUCCCCGCCAUCAGCCAUUUCCAAACUCCAAAGGGAGUGCUUUGAAGUGUCGUACCAUCACUACUUGAACCGAAUCGCGGUGAAGUGGUGUUCUAGCAGCUUUAGAAGUAAUAGUACUGCCACUUUAAGCUAACAGGGAAAUAAAUUGAAGUUAAGAGAGCAUUGCCUAUAUUGUUAUGGAUUUAACUUCGGACCUUAGCUUAUAUAAUUCAGCUAAUGCCAUCACUGCUGCUUUGUGUAACUCAUGUUGUCAUGUAGUAUAUCUUGAAAGGCAUCUCGUACAAUAUUCUUUCGGUAAACGAAAACGACUGAAACCAUCCUAAUGUACCAAUUUCUUUCCCAAAAGUGGACAGAUAUUUGUGUGGCAGGUACGUUGGAGAAGAACUAAGUGGGGAGGAACUAAUAUGCUGAACUGGUGGCAAGAAUGGUUACACCACGCACCACAAGGCGACCACUCAUUCAUUGCGGAGAAAUGUGCCACAAUAUCAGAUGUUUUAAUCAUGGUAAAUCAUCGUCUGGAGUUUUUUUUUGUGGGUUUUUUAUGAUUUCUUGUUGUCACUUGUUAGGCCCUUAAAAGCUUCCAUUACCUGAUUGGGUGGUAUUUCUGUUCAGGCGUCGAUAUGUUAAUGAGCUUUACUUUUACUUUCUUUAAAUAUACUCUUUUGUUCCCAGAUGGUGUGGUAGUAAAUGGUAUCCUUCGAUAUUAAUAUAUUCCCUUUAUCGAAAAGAUGGUGUGGUAGUUUACACUACCUGGUUGGGUGUUAAAAUUUAUAUAUGUGCAUCUCCAGUUUUAGGAUCCUUAAGGGUGCUCCUAAGAUACACACAAGAUGCACUUCUUACACUGUAAAUCUUCAUCCAAACACCUACAUUUCUACGCAAUGAUGUGCUACUUUAAUCGUGAGGAUCACUUUCAUUCUGUUGAAUUUUUUGAAGAGAGUCCCCGAGUUUGGAGAACCUGGUGCAAGAACGGCAACACUCAAUGGGACUGGAUGGCUGCUGGUUUUCCACUAAAUCCCUCAGGGUCAACAUAAUUGAGGUGUGGCACUUUCUGGGAUUGGCAACACAAGACGGUCAGCUCAGCUCUCCCUGAAUCCCCAGAUUCCAUGAGGGCUUUUCUUUUGAGAGGCAAAGACCCAUGUUCUCUGCAGUGGGUAUGCGGCUAGAUGGAUCAAUUAACUAGUGCUGGUGACCACUAAAAACAAGGGGUGCUGCUUCCGAAAAUCAAUCAGCCUGAAGAAUCCCCGGUAAAAGGAGGCACAACUAGAAGCGUAAAAGGAGCAUUUUGGAAUGAUUCCAAGGCCACAUGCAGCGGCUGCAUACCAAUCCUAUUGUAUAAACAAGGAGGAGAGCUUCCUGGGGACAUGUUGGUUUCGGUUUAGUUAUUCUGCUACUUUGGGCUAGGUUGUGGUUGCUAUACUUAACUAUGAAAGUACCUUUAGGGAAAAUCUUAUUCCUUGUCUUCUUUUCUAAUUCGAGUAAGAUUUUUCUCAGUAUACAACUAUAUACAUGAACGUCCAUGUCAGUGCAAAGUGGAACUUCCAUUUUUCAGAAAUGGUGCUCUGGAAUUUACAUUGUUGCUUUGCCUUUAGAAUCUGUAGCCAUAAUUAUGUUUUAGAAACUAUCUGAAUCAUAUUCCGUUUACUAGUAAUUGAUUGGUUCUGGCUUUUGACUUUUGAGAAAAUAUAUACAGAGGGCUUUGUCACCACAUUUUUGUGUGACGCCGUACUGAACCGCCGAACAUAAGUUUCGCAUUCCGGAAUAAGAACAAGAAACGAAGACGACUGCGACUUGCAAAGGUAAAAGAAAAAUAGUACACUCCAGCUACCUAGGGGAUUCGAGUAAUUAGUUACCUGCG
Molecule: long non-coding RNA, 4527 nt
Organism: Lolium perenne
Lineage: Eukaryota; Viridiplantae; Streptophyta; Magnoliopsida; Poales; Poaceae
Source: RefSeq, a predicted model, not a curated record